GACGAACGCUGGCGGCGUGCUUAACACAUGCAAGUCGAACGGUAAGGCCCUUCGGGUACACGAGUGGCGAACGGGUGAGUAACACGUGGGUGAUCUGCCCUGCACUUCGGGAUAAGCCUGGGAAACUGGGUCUAAUACCGGAUAGGACCAUGGACUUCACGGUUUGUGGUGGAAAGCUUUUGCGGUGUGGGAUGGGCCCGCGGCCUAUCAGCUUGUUGGUGGGGUAAUGGCCUACCAAGGCGACGACGGGUAGCCGGCCUGAGAGGGUGUCCGGCCACACUGGGACUGAGAUAUGGCCCAGACUCCUACGGGAGGCAGCAGUGGGAAUAUUGCACAAUGGGCGCAAGCCUGAUGCAGCGACGCCGCGUGAGGGAUGACGGCCUUCGGUUGUAACCUACUUCAUAGGACGAAGCGCAAGUGACGGUACCGUAUAGAAGAAG
This 440-nucleotide ribosomal RNA is filed under the name uncultured bacterium. RNAcentral describes it as "bacterial SSU rRNA". It matches the Rfam family "Bacterial small subunit ribosomal RNA", at positions 28 to 490 of the family's 1533-position model. The record is from RNAcentral.